AUUGAACGCUGGCGGCAGGCCUAACACAUGCAAGUCGAGCGAGCGGCGGACGGGUGAGUAAUGUCUGGGAAUCUGCCCGAUGGAGGGGGAUAACUACUGGAAACGGUGGCUAAUACCGCAUACCAUCAGAUGUGCCCAUAUGGGAUUAGCUAGUAGGUGGGGUAAAGGCUCACCAAGGCGACGAUCCCUAGCUGGUCUGAGAGGAUGACCAGCCACACUGGGACUGAGACACGGUCCAGACUCCUACGGGAGGCAGCAGUGGGGAAUAUUGCACAAUGGGCGCAAGCCUGAUGCAGCCAUGCCGCGUGUAUGAAGAAGGCCUUCGGGUUGUAAAGUACUUUCAGCGGGGAGGCGUUACCCGCAGAAGAAGCACCGGCUAACUCCGUGCCAGCAGCCGCGGUAAUAC
Molecule: ribosomal RNA, 406 nt
Filed under: uncultured bacterium
Lineage: Bacteria
Description: partial 16S ribosomal RNA
Rfam family: Bacterial small subunit ribosomal RNA
Source: RNAcentral